This is a long non-coding RNA of Salvia hispanica, 623 nucleotides long. RefSeq lists it as uncharacterized. Lineage: Eukaryota; Viridiplantae; Streptophyta; Magnoliopsida; Lamiales; Lamiaceae. The record is from RefSeq and is a predicted model, not a curated record.
UGAAAGCAAGUCGAUCCUUUCUUGCAAGAAUCCUACAGAAUGUAGCUUCUCAUUUAGCUGCUGUUGGAGUUGCCUUUUCUCACUCCCAGCAUUUUUAACACAGAGUUCCAGGUUAUCAACUUCGAUGCUUAGUAGCUUGGGACAGAAAGUUUCUUCAAGGAAGGAAAACUCCUGGCUGUAAACCUUGAGCUACUCUUAGUUUCACUUUGAUGAUGUAGGUUCUUGACGAUGAAGUUCCAUUUAAUAUAUUAACGAACAUAUCUCAAGCAUUUUAAGUUAUAUCCCUUGCUCUCUAACAGUUGUGAUCUAACAUCAAUCUCAUAAAAAAUAACAAUAUAAAUCUAUUAAAAUUACUUACAUGUUCUACAGUAGCGUCUGAAAUGGCCUUUUCCUUCUUCUUUAAUGCAAAAAGGGCAGCAAGAAUUCCUGAUCCCAGAAUACCGAGUACAUUGAGAAUGGAGAAGAAGGGGUGCCCUGAUGGACGUUCCUGCCCCGAUAGCUGUGCACGUGAAAUGUGCACAUCAGCAUGCAUGAUAGUGUAUAGAUGACAUACAAAAACGAAACCAGCAGUUGUAUAAUCCUUUGAUUUUAUACUAGGAUGCAGACCUCUUCAUUUUGAUUCA